This 178-nucleotide microRNA precursor is filed under the name Medicago truncatula (barrel medic). Its description in RNAcentral is "MIR2619 microRNA precursor family". It matches the Rfam family "MIR2619 microRNA precursor family". The record is from Rfam by way of RNAcentral. Lineage: Eukaryota; Viridiplantae; Streptophyta; Magnoliopsida; Fabales; Fabaceae.
AAACCGCCCAUAAGUUUUGCAACUGUAGCAGUUUUGAUCCCCAAGGCCAAUUUUUGGUAAAAAAAAACAUAAAAAAUAACACGUGACACCUUACUUAGGGUGCCACGUCAGCGUAGACCGAGUCAAAAUUGACAUUGGGGUCAAAACUGCCACAAAUGCAAAACUUAGGAGGCGGUUU